RNAcentral lists this small RNA (819 nucleotides) under Pan troglodytes (chimpanzee). RNAcentral describes it as "processed transcript". Lineage: Eukaryota; Metazoa; Chordata; Mammalia; Primates; Hominidae. The record is from RNAcentral.
UAGGAACACUAUUGGGGUGAUAGGCACCACCUCCUCCCCAAAGGCUCCUGGGUCAACCCACAGCUUCCCUCCUGGGGCCACAGAUGGCCCACUGGCCCUCCCUGGACAGCUACAGGGAAACUCCACCAUGGAGCCACCCUCCUGGCCUUCCCGUACUGAGGACCCCACCGGCCACGUCAUGUGGCAUGCCACCCGUUCCACCCGGGAAACACUUCUGAAUCCCACGUGGCUGCGAAAUGAGGACAGUGGACUCUCCGGUUCUGUAGACCUGCCAUUGACCUCCACCCUCACAGCUCUGAAGACCCCCGCCUGUGGUGACAUCUCAGGAGAUUCACAGCAGGAAUCUGUGCAGGAGUUGGAUCUCGGCCGUGACAGCCCUGUGAGCUUGCAGAGCUAGCCUGCCUCUGGAUUUCAUCCAAAUGAGCUGUUAAAUGUGAUCUUCCUCAAUGCAUUUCCUCUGCUAAGCAGCACAGGCUCUAAGACUAAACUCUUAGCCCAUUUCCUGUCUCCAUUGGGAGGAUCAUGGUCUCCAAUGUGACCAGCACCGGCUUCCACCUGGCAUGGGAGGCGGAUCUUGCUAUGGACUCCACCUUCCAGCUCACUCUGACUUCCACCUGGAGCCCUGCUGUGGUCCUAGAGACCUGGAACACGAGUGUGACACUGUCGGGGCUGGAGCCUGGGGUCUUGCACCUGGUUGAGAUCAUGGCCAAAGCAUGUGGGAAAGAAGGUGCCAGAGCUCAUCUGAAAGUGAGGACAGCAGCCCGGAAGCUCAUUGGAAAGGUCAGAAUCAAAAAUGUCAGGUACUCAGAAUCCUUUCGC